This 274-nucleotide ribosomal RNA is filed under the name uncultured bacterium. RNAcentral's name for it is "partial 16S ribosomal RNA". It matches the Rfam family "Bacterial small subunit ribosomal RNA", at positions 523 to 796 of the family's 1533-position model. The record is from RNAcentral.
AUACGGAGGGUGCAAGCGUUACUCGGAAUCACUGGGCGUAAAGCGCGCGCAGGCGGCUAUUUAAGUUGGAUGUGAAAGCCUACGGCUCAACCGUAGAACUGCAUCCAAAACUAUUUAGCUAGAGUGUGGGAGAGGAAGAUGGAAUUAGUUGUGUAGGGGUAAAAUCCGUAGAGAUAACUAGGAAUACCAAAAGCGAAGGCAAUCUUCUGGAACAUUACUGACGCUGAGGCGCGAAAGCGUGGGGAGCAAACAGGAUUAGAUACCCUAGUAGUCC